AUGACAAAGUUUUGGUGGAGUGGUUCCCUUGAUCGCAACUCAUUGCAUUGGGUGGCAUGGGACAAACUUGCAUCUCCAAAAGCCCGAGGUGGCAUGGGUUUUCGUGAUCUGGAAUUGUUCAAUUUGGCGCUACUAGGCAAAAAUGGAUGGAGAUUUAGUACAAAUCUCAAUUCUCUAUGUGCAAGGGUCAUGAAGGGGUGCUACUUUCCCGAUUGUGAGUUUAUGGAAGCUUCCGUUCCACAAUCUGCUUCUGCGAUUUGGCGAGCCAUUGUGGCAGGUAGGGAAGCACUCACAGUAGGUUUGAUCAAAAGAGUGGGUGAUGGAGCUACCAUAUCUAUAUGGGAGGAUCGUUGGAUCCCGGGUAUAUCGACUUUGUCCCCUUCGGUCAUACCUGGGGGUAUAACACUUGGCACUGUUGAUUAA
Molecule: ribosomal RNA, 423 nt
Filed under: Triticum aestivum (bread wheat)
Lineage: Eukaryota; Viridiplantae; Streptophyta; Magnoliopsida; Poales; Poaceae
Description: partial small subunit ribosomal RNA
Source: RNAcentral